UCCCUCGUGGCGCAAUUGGCUAGCGCGUUCGACUGUUAAUCGAGAGGUUGGUGGUUCGAGCCCACCCGAGGGAGU
Molecule: non-coding RNA, 75 nt
Organism: Pseudogymnoascus destructans
Lineage: Eukaryota; Fungi; Ascomycota; Leotiomycetes; Thelebolales; Thelebolaceae
Source: the annotation of a RefSeq genome assembly